GGAACCAGACAAGAUAGUAGGGCAUCCAGGGAUGCCGGAGCAUAAUCCGGCUCACAGCACCCAGCCAACCUAUCUGUCAGUGAAUGAAGCCUCCUGAAGGAGGAAGUGAGCUGCAGCCAGACGCCAAACUCCCGGACAAUGGAGAAGACAGUCUGACCCGACGCCAAGCAAAUGCAGGAGCCGAGAUAGAGAGGGAGAGAGACAGUCCACCUGAUAAAGGCAGAACCAAUACAGGCUGUCCCAGCCACAGCCAGCAAACCGCCACACUUCAGACUAAAUUAAGCUGCUGCCACAGGAGACCUUUGGUAACCACCACACCAAUGACUUUGUCCAUCAGAAGCCGCCGUGUGCAGUCAUUGAGAAGGGUCGUACAACCAGAAAUGAAAUUCCUCCGGUUCAAGGUUUUUCAAUUUAUUCUGAAAAGUCUGCAAUCCACUGUUAGUCACUACCUAACAUCCUAGUGACGUAUUUGAAUGUGUUUUUUUCAGGCUAAAAAUGUCAGAGUAUCUCUAUUACCACCUACAGGGCUAGACAUGAAAAUGAAUUAAAUAAGUCCUGGCAGGGACUUUUCGUUGUGGGUUUACAGCCAUGGCUGCCAGAAGAAGUGAAUCAAGUGGGGCAUGUAGGAAAAGAAUAAGUGACACUCCAGAUAGAAUGAACGCACAAUUUAGCCGUAUUAUAAAGGAAGACCGUGCUGCAGAAGAGACCUCAUUUCUCCAUAGGUUAACAAUUUUGCUGGUGUGUCUCUGGACAAUACAACAACUUGGACAUAAAAGUUGUACAUACGCAAGUAGCAUAAGCAGCUUGGUGUAGGUUAUAAGUUGUGCCACCCAAGCGGUACAGCUGCUGGUAGCAUACAUGCUAUCUUGGAUCUCAUUAAAUUGUGAAUGUUGUAUAAGACACUAAGAACCAUGCUACUGCUGCAGUGUCUAACUAAUAAACUACUUCUCAUUUAAUGCAGUCCCCCUUUUAAAGAGGUAUGCACCACUAAGUCUUAUGUACAUCUUUACAUACUUUUAAAGACAGGCAAGGGUUUUUGUUGUCGAACAACUGCUUUACAAAUGUGAUGUAAUGUUACCAAACAUUGCUUGGUAAUCUGACUGCAUAUGGGUACCAAGUGAGGCUGCUCCUUUUUUUAACAGCAGUGUAACAAACUGGCUCUUUCUAUUGCCUUCAGCGUUUUGAAGAGUUCCGUCAAGUGGGUGAAGAACGUGAUCGGUAACACCGACAUGGGAGAGCCGUGAGUCAGCAGGUGACAUUCAAUGUGUCCGUCUUAAGGACUCAUACACUCACCAUGUAUCGAUCUCACAGGAAUGCCACGGCUGAGUGUAGGGUUGUUGUCCCUUUGGGUCUCAACCAGGAAGAAUUUCGACAGGCUCUGCGAGAAUCCAUUCCUGAUAUACCACUGCAGUUUGAUCUGG
This is a long non-coding RNA of Melanotaenia boesemani (Boeseman's rainbowfish), 1421 nucleotides long. RefSeq lists it as uncharacterized. The transcript is spliced from 3 exons. The record is from RefSeq and is a predicted model, not a curated record. Lineage: Eukaryota; Metazoa; Chordata; Actinopteri; Atheriniformes; Melanotaeniidae.